CACCGUCACUGAGGUGGAAGCUGGAAUAAACAGCAGACACCUUACAUCUUGGUCUUUUCAGGGGGUGCGGCCACUGCUCUGGGACCUUCUGGAAGAUGAAUUUUCAUCAUGGUCCCCGUGGGUCACCAGACACACUGUGGCUGGGAGCUCUAUUCUGGCUGGCUAUGUAAAAACAAAGAAGUAGCACAUUUAUAAAUGUUUAAAAGAGCAUAAAAUCACGUGUAACAAUAAUCUGUAAAACAAAUUAAAACUAGAAGGUCAUAAUAAAAUGUUUACAUAGAAGAUUAUUAAAAAUAAUUCACCUUUGCUACGCCGGUAAAGCUUCACGUCAGCCUGGACAAGUGCAUUCUUGCAGCUAAAUCAGUCUGACAGCCAGUGUCUUGGGUAGAUUUAGCCUGAAAAAAAAUAGAAGCACAUUGUUGUUGGGAGUUUAUAAAGUCAGAUAAUAUACAAAAGAAUCUCCUAUAUAGGCGCUUUAUAACAUUCCUAGUGUGUGAUCGUUGUUAUAAUGUAAAAGUCAGUCACAUAUGAUGUGGAGAGCCUGAAAUGCGACCUCCUGAACAGAAUUCCUCACAGAACUGGGUCACAGGCUGGAUUUCACGCUGUAAUGCUGUCUGUCAAGUGCUGCGUCAGUUAGAGACACUGUUGCAGAAUUGCCGACUGACUAGCUAAAGGAAGUGAACCACGUCUCUCAGACUUUGCAUUUAGGUAGGGAAUUGUCUUUAGAAGAUGUUAAAACGUUUAUUUAGCUGACUCACCUCAGACUGGAGCCCGCCGUGGUGGGGGAGCAGAGUCGGUGGGCUGCAUCUAAAUCGCGGAAGAGCCACGGUGGGCACAGCCUCCCUCUUCAAACGGAGAUGUGCAGAAUCGCGGGUAAAAUGCCCACAGAGUCACCGCAACCAUACUACACUACACCUACUCACCAAUACUAAGAUGAUAUGGAGCACUAAACCCGAACUACUUUCCCAAUUACACUAACAGCCAAACACUAACUAAACUACACUAUCCAACAGCCAAGCUAACACUAAAUAAGUAUGUAUAACACUAAAAGCUAUGCUAAAGACUAGGAUAUGCUAAUGCUAUAUGCUAAUGCUGAACUACCGCUGACCUCCUACACUCGCUUGCAAAUCCAACUCCCAACUCGCCACAGGGCGUGGCCGAGACGCUCGUUGCUUUUAUAACUUUGGCACGGAGCUGCUACGUAGUACUCUACUGGUUUACGUAGUACUUUACUCUUUAGCCAUUGGCUAAAAUUUGACUCAAAUUCUAUGUUUUCAGCUGAAGGUGGCGCAUUACUGUGGUUUUUAGACAGAAUUUUUAGUUUUUAAAGAAAAUGCACCAAAAUGCUAAAAUAAAGAAUGCACACAUUUAAAACACUAUUAGACACUCAUUUAUACAGUUCAUCAGCAAAAAAAGUUAAUUUAGACGUUACUUGCUCUUUAAAUGGAGUCCCAAAUGAACAAGUAUAUGAAACUAAAUUCCUAGGUGUGAUUAUUGAUAGUAAACUCAGUUGGAAACCACAUAUCGAAUAUAUCAAACGGCAAGUGUCUAAAUCUAUUGCUAUACUUUAUAAAACUAGUGAUGCACUAAAUAAAAAGGCCUUGUUUUUGAUUUAUAGAUCUUUAGUUAUGCCUUAUUUGUCUUACUGUGCAGAGAUUAGGGGAAAUGCAGGUAAAACGUGUGUUGAGACUAUAUUUAAAUUACAAAAAAAGGCGAUUAGAAUAGUUAAUAAAUUGGGAUACCUCGAACCAACCCAUAAUCUAUUUAGUCAAACUAAAACGCUAAAAUUAGGAGAUAUUUUUAAAGUAAAAAUCUUAGCGAUUCUUCAUAAAGUAGUUAAUAAUAAUAUCCCAAAUUGCAUAAAAGUUUAUUUCAAACCAAGAGAUGAUCAUUAUAAUCUCAGAGGUGUAUUUAUGUUUGAAUGUGUAAAAGCCAGAACUAAUGUGAAAUCAAGAUGUGUCUCUGUUGUUGGUGUGAAAUUGUGGAAUGAGUUAGAUGAUGAUUUGAAGAAAUGUACUUCUUUACUAAAGUUUAAAGCAGGUGUAAAGUGUCACAUAUUUACAGGGUAUGAAAAGUAUGUAUAGACAUCAAUGAAUUUUCAUUGUGGUUAUUUAUAUUGGGGAAAAUAAAAGAAAUGUAUGUUGGUUAUGUAUCUUAGGUGGAAAAUAGGGUAGGCUAAAAUAAGCAUUGCUUCUGCCUAUUCCUUUUUUUGGUUUAAAUUCAAGUUGUUAAUAUUGUUGUUUUGUUUGAAAAGAAAAAUUUUAUGUUAAUGCUAUAAACCAAAAUAAAGACCGAAAGAAAGAAAAGAAAGAAAGAAAUACCAAUGCCACCUCAACUGGCUCCUCUCGAUGUGGAGAAGGGGGGGGGGUUUAUUCUGAGCCCCUCCCGCAUGAGCAUGCUUCUCACCCAAGCCCCCACAAUGCCGCUCUAAAAAUGGUCCCAUCCCGGAAGUAAGAAAAAUUGCAGUUCCACCCUCAUCCGCUGGGGGCUGGUGCCAGAAGCGAGCAAAUCCUCAUUGACUCCCAUGUUAAAAAUGCCGAUUUCACAGCAGAAAUAAACAUGUUUACAGCCUGGUACCAAAACAUGUUUUUUGUCUAAAUUAUCUAGUUUAUACUCAUGACAACUCUGAGGGGGGUGAAUUUUUUUCUCACUCUUCUGUUUAAGUGUAUUGAAAGCCUCAAAUUCUGUAUAAUUAAUGAGCAUCCGACACACGUGACCGCCGCCUCAGACCCACGUGACCACAGAGCUAGCUCCGUGGAAAGGCCUCAGUACAGCCUCGGUCUGGCUUGGAAACUGCUCCGGCAUUUUGAGUCUCUGUGUUUGUGUAUUCUUCUUUGGAUAUUAUUGGUGCAAUUGUUGGACAAAAUGACUUGCAGUGGUAUUAAUUGCACUAAUAGAGCGUCCAAGGAGUCUCCACUUCAUUUUUUUCGGGAAGGACCUGAUUGGUGUCCAGAACCUGUUGAAGAAGCACCAGGCUCUGCAGGCUGAGAUCACAGGUCAUGAACCUCGCAUCAAGGCUGUCACCCAGAAAGGAGAGACCAUGGUGGAAGAAGGUCACUUCGCUGGUGAGGAAGUGAAGACUAAACUGUGGGAGCUUCAUGGACGUUGGGACACGCUGAAGGCCAAGGCGUCCCAGAGGAGGCAGGACCUGGAGGACUCUCUGCAGGCCCAGCAGUACUUUGCGGAUGCUAAUGAGGCCGAGUCCUGGAUGAGGGAGAAGGAGCCCAUCGUUGGAAGUCCAGACUAAGGGAAAGACGAGGACUUGGCCGAGGUAUGGAAGUCCCUUCCUGAGAAACUCCAAUCGCUUUUCUUUGCUCUCUUUCCAGUCCUUCAUAAUUAGUGUUUCUGUAUUUGUCAUUUCCUUCGGUUGUCUACCAGACGUCGUUGCUCGUUUGAGCGUCUCAUGGGUUAGGGGUAGAAGUGCUGGCCUCGCACAGGAAGUGAUGACAAACGUGUUCCCGUCGCUCUUAUUUCAAACGGUUUACAAGCUGUGAUGUGUGUUCCCGCUGCAGAGCAGCCAUGACACGUGGCAGCCGGCAGAAGGCUCACGCUUUUCCACUAAACACCCGCAGAGCUGCGUCUGCGGUGAACUGAGCAGGGUUUGUUUUACGGUGGCGGAUCCGAUUGGACCAUCGCUGCGAGAAAGCUCCACUUGUGUCAGACGAGCUGAAGGUUCUGAUGUUCUGCUCCACAGGCUCUCCUGAAGAAGCACGAGGCCCUGAUGUCGGACCUGUCGGCUUACGGCAGCAGCAUCCAGGCCCUGAAGGAGCAGGCCCAGUCCUGCAGGGUGAGUUCAGAACCCUCGGCCCGUCAGAACAUUCUUAUCCACCACGUUCUAACACCAGACCUGUUAACCCGAACGCAACAAGGUAAUCAGCAGGUGCUUUUGUCCUGCAGGACCUGAAGGCCAACGAGUCCCGCCUGAGGGACAUCAACAAGGUGGCAUCUGAACUGGAGUCAGAAGGUCUGAUGGCUGAGGAGGCUCCUAUGGUUCAGGCUCAGGUGAGCGUCACCUGUCUGCAGCAGCUGGUCCCUCUCACUUCCUGGUUUAACUCUGCUCGUCUCUGUUUGUAGCAACAAGAACAUCUGGGUUCUGCUCCUGGAAAGGAUGAAGCCGACUCUAACACGGCGUCACCCUGGAAGGUGAGUUCAUUCAGCUGAUCAGAGGUCACCUCUGAUGGCAGCAGUCACGGCCGACCGUGCUGACAUCACACAGGAAUUCAGGUGACCCGGCAGGCACCAGGUUUUGGUGAAAGUGGGGACAUGUCAGCUGGUUGCCAUGGCUACAGUUAUCUUUAUGCAUCUGUAUGACUGCUGACUGGUGUGUGUUUCCUGUGACCUUUGACCUCAGACCGUACGGUUGGGCGUUCAGACGACGGCUAACUUUAAUUCCAUCAAGGUAAGAGGAAGCUCUUCCCUUCCUGUCUGAGCGAUCCGUCUCCAGGUUUCUUCGUCCGGCGUCCAGCCCGCUGGCGUCCACCUUCAUCUCACCUUCAUCUCAUCUCACUUCAUUUAUAGUGCAAUACUUUCACAUUAUCAUUUUCCCACACUUCUGUAUACCUGUAUUUUAUUG
This is a non-coding RNA of Nothobranchius furzeri (turquoise killifish), 4573 nucleotides long. NCBI's taxonomy places the organism in Eukaryota, Metazoa, Chordata, Actinopteri, Cyprinodontiformes, Nothobranchiidae. The record is from RefSeq and is a predicted model, not a curated record.